AGAACGAACGCUGGCGGCAUGCCUAACACAUGCAAGUCGAACGCUUUUGGGGCUUCGGUCCCAAAGGAGUGGCGCACGGGUGAGUAGCGCGUGGGAACCUGCCCUGUUGUGGGGGAUAACCGAGGGAAACUUCGGCUAAUACCGCAUACGCCCGGGGGAAACUCCGGGGAAAGAUUUAUCGCAGCAGGAGGGGCCCGCGUCGGAUUAGGUAGUUGGUGGGGUAACGGCCCACCAAGCCUGUGAUCCGUAGCUGGUCUGAGAGGAUGAUCAGCCACACUGGGACUGAGACACGGCCCAGACUCCUACGGGAGGCAGCAGUGGGGAAUAUUGGACAAUGGGCGCAAGCCUGAUCCAGCCAUGCCGCGUGAGUGAUGACGGCCUUAGGGUUGUAAAGCUCUUUCGCUCGGGACGAUAAUGACGGUACCGAGAUAAGAAGCCCCGGCUAACUUCGUGCCAGCAGCCGC
RNAcentral lists this ribosomal RNA (464 nucleotides) under uncultured bacterium. RNAcentral describes it as "SSU rRNA". It matches the Rfam family "Bacterial small subunit ribosomal RNA", at positions 26 to 518 of the family's 1533-position model. The record is from RNAcentral.